AGAGUUUGAUUCUGGCUCAGGAUGAACGCUGGCGGCGUGCCUAACACAUGCAAGUCGAACGGAAGCUUAACGCUGACGAGACUUCGGUCAAAUCUUGUUAAGCUUUAGUGGCGGACGGGUGAGUAACGCGUGGGCAACCUGCCUCGUACUGGGGGAUAACAGCUGGAAACGACUGUUAAUACCGCAUAAGCGCACGGUACCGCAUGGUACAGUGUGAAAAACUCCGGUGGUACGAGAUGGGCCCGCGUCAGAUUAGCCAGUUGGUGGGUAACGGCCUACCAAAGCAACGAUCUGUAGCCGGACUGAGAGGUCGGACGGCCACAUUGGGACUGAGACACGGCCCAAACUCCUACGGGAGGCAGCAGUGGGGGAUAUUGCACAAUGGGCGAAAGCCUGAUGCAGCGACGCCGCGUGAGUGAAGAAGUAUUUCGGUAUGUAAAGCUCUAUCAGCAGGGAAGAAAGACCCGCAAGGGAGAUGACGGUACCUGACUAAGAAGCCCCGGCUAACUACGUGCCAGCCGCUGC
Molecule: ribosomal RNA, 525 nt
Filed under: uncultured bacterium
Lineage: Bacteria
Description: bacterial SSU rRNA
Rfam family: Bacterial small subunit ribosomal RNA
Source: RNAcentral